This 818-nucleotide long non-coding RNA is filed under the name Zonotrichia albicollis (white-throated sparrow). RNAcentral's name for it is "lncRNA (ENSZALG00000013254.1)". Lineage: Eukaryota; Metazoa; Chordata; Aves; Passeriformes; Passerellidae. The record is from RNAcentral.
CUAAGAAGCUCUGGCUGCAGGCUAGCACCUUUGUGCACCAGUGUCAGUGUAAAGUGAAAAACACUCUGCAUUUGGGGCUGAGACCACACAAGCCCCAGGAAGAAGCCACACUCUUGGACUAGAAGGGGCUGGAUGAAGCAAACUGCACCAUUUCCCAUCACAAGAGCACCCAGCUGUAACCAGCACCCACACUGCACCUCCAAUACACUUCUAGGAAUUAGACUCAGGAGGGUGAUUUGUUCGAGGAGGGCGAGCACCACACCCAGCCAUUCCCUCACACACCUCAGAGCCACAGCAGCCUUCACAGUGGGUAAGUGCUGAAUUUCAUCACCUGCACUACAGCCUGUGCUUGGGGCUGAGCUAGGCACAGCUUCAAUUGUACAUUUUCAGCAAUCUUGAGUUGCUGUUCAGAUAGCCAAAAAUCCAGACAAGGCACUUCCUACAGCCUGCAUAAACGUAUUGAUUUAUUUGAAAUUUUUCUGUCAGUGUAAAUUUUUGAAGAAGUUUGAACAGGUCCUGUCUUUAAAAUCUUUAAGUCAAAUUUAAGUGACUACUAAGGACACAAAGUACGACUCAAAAAAACCCCCAACAUCUCAUCCGAGUCACACUUUGAACCCCUCACGGGUAAAACUAAAAUUAAGUGCUGCUGUGUCUUGGGCCGCAGCCGAGUAGCAGGCAGUGAGUCUGCAGCCAGUGCAGGCCAGUGCCCGCACCCGUCCACACGGCCCCGGUGGCUGCUGCCCGGCCAUGCCCCUCCGGGAUCAGGGUAUACCGGGAUGCCUCGGGAUACUCUGGGACACCCCGGGAUGUCCCGGGAU